UGGCGCCGCGGGAGGGGCAACUUUCCCAUGGGGCCGAGAAUCUAGUCAAACUUGGUCAUUUAGAGGUCGUAAAAGUCGUAACAAGGUUUCCGUAGGUGAACCUG
This 104-nucleotide ribosomal RNA is filed under the name Pichia kudriavzevii. Its description in RNAcentral is "partial 18S ribosomal RNA". It matches the Rfam family "Eukaryotic small subunit ribosomal RNA", at positions 1716 to 1817 of the family's 1831-position model. The record is from RNAcentral. Lineage: Eukaryota; Fungi; Ascomycota; Pichiomycetes; Pichiales; Pichiaceae.